RNAcentral lists this ribosomal RNA (60 nucleotides) under uncultured bacterium. RNAcentral describes it as "partial 16S ribosomal RNA". The record is from RNAcentral.
UGGGCUUGAACUGCAGUGGAUCAUCCGCCGAAAGGCGGGCUUCCUUCGGGACUGCUGUAG